Bufo gargarizans (Asiatic toad) is the source of this 762-nucleotide long non-coding RNA. RefSeq lists it as uncharacterized. Lineage: Eukaryota; Metazoa; Chordata; Amphibia; Anura; Bufonidae. The record is from RefSeq and is a predicted model, not a curated record. The transcript is spliced from 2 exons.
GCGAUCCUCCGGCACACUUCCCCCUCUCUUCACACCCUCCUACCCUCCCCACGUUGCCACACUCCCCAAACAAACCAGUUAUCCUGGAAAAACGAUCUGAACAGCUUGCAGACUGAAGGGAAAGGUACACCCGGCUUCUCUGAGACCCACUCGUGCAGGACGCUUGCUGAUGACAUCACACCCGGAAGUAGCAGACGUCCGAAUGCCGACAUGCUGCCUGGGAGAGCCGGACCGCUUAAGACAGGAGGAUUUCCUGACCUGCAAAACUGAAAUUGAAAGUGCGUUGCACGUGUGUAACCUGGGAGAUCAUAAUUAUGUGAAUCCAAGUUUUAAUUAAGAUAGCCAGGAUGGUUUAAACAUCCCAUCACUGUAAUAUGUUUAAUUAAGGUAUAGAUACAUAUAACCGAAAAACUAAAGUUACAGGUUUACCUAUUUUGAUUGCCACCAGUUAUGUUUCCAUUGGAUGAGGCAAACUGCAGAGUCUUGCACAGCAGAUCUUUUUAUUACAUCUUCUAUGUUUAGCAGACCACCUAACGAUGAUGGUGGUCAAGUUACAGAGCAGGGUAUAAUGCCCAGUAUCACAAAUACCAGGCCAAACAUCCCAUCAUUUCCAGCUCAUGGAGGUAGCACAGUGGUUUUCAUCAGGCUUUUCCAGUUACUGUAAAGCACUUUUAAUGUGAUUGCUCUGUAAAUAAAUCUCUGUGUACGGUAAUUACGACUUUUUAUAAUGUUAUUGGAAAUAAAUGAAUCUGCAGUAUAACA